Molecule: ribosomal RNA, 687 nt
Filed under: Triticum aestivum (bread wheat)
Lineage: Eukaryota; Viridiplantae; Streptophyta; Magnoliopsida; Poales; Poaceae
Description: partial small subunit ribosomal RNA
Source: RNAcentral
AUGCAGGCGUCAGGUGGCUGCUUGACGGCGCCGGAGGACGGACUCAGCACAACCUGCCCUUGGAACCCCCGCGUGAGGAGCACCGGCUUUUUCCACCAGACCGUCUUUAGCAUGCUUGUGAGCCGCGCUAGGGCAUUCAUCAAGGAGGUCCGGCGGUUGCAUGAUCUAAACCCCGGGUCUCUCUGUGGCAUCGACCUUUACAACGGCAUCCUAAUGCGCUAUGUCAAGUCAUCCACCGCGUACCUCGGUAAGUCGGCAGUGCGCGGGCAGUCGGCCGACAUGGUGGAGUUCGACAUGACCUACUACCGCAGCCGCGACCCAAGGAGGGCGCGCCUCUACGAGGACGUCCUUGAGGAGAUCGAGCAGAUGGGGCUAUUCAAGUACGGCGGGCUGCCACACUGGGGCAAGAAUCGCAAUGUCGCUUUCGUCGGCGCCUCGCGCAAAUACCCCAAAAUGCGCGACUUCCUGCUUGUCAAGGACGCCUACGACCGGGAUGACCUCUUCUCCAGCGAUUGGAGUGACAUGAUGCUCGGCAUUGGUGGUGACACACCGACGAACAUCGCACCUGGGUGCGCGCCAGAAGGAAUGUGCGUGUGCUCGCAGGAUGUGCACUGCGCGCUGGAACAAGGGUACGUCUGCAGGCCCGGCAGGGUCUACAUGAAUGCCAGAGUCUGCACCAAAGUGUAG